RNAcentral lists this ribosomal RNA (497 nucleotides) under uncultured bacterium. RNAcentral's name for it is "partial 16S ribosomal RNA". It matches the Rfam family "Bacterial small subunit ribosomal RNA", at positions 28 to 507 of the family's 1533-position model. The record is from RNAcentral.
GAUGAACGCUGGCGGCGUGCCUAAUACAUGCAAGUCGAGCGAACAGACGAGGAGCUUGCUCCUCUGACGUUAGCGGCGGACGGGUGAGUAACACGUGGAUAACCUACCUAUAAGACUGGGAUAACUUCGGGAAACCGGAGCUAAUACCGGAUAACAUGUUGAACCGCAUGGUUCAACAGUGAAAGACGGUCUUGCUGUCACUUAUAGAUGGAUCCGCGCCGCAUUAGCUAGUUGGUAAGGUAACGGCUUACCAAGGCAACGAUGCGUAGCCGACCUGAGAGGGUGAUCGGCCACACUGGAACUGAGACACGGUCCAGACUCCUACGGGAGGCAGCAGUAGGGAAUCUUCCGCAAUGGGCGAAAGCCUGACGGAGCAACGCCGCGUGAGUGAUGAAGGUCUUCGGAUCGUAAAACUCUGUUAUUAGGGGAGAACAAAUGUGUAAGUAACUAUGCACGUCUUGACGGUACCUAAUCAGAAAGCCACGGCUAACUACGUG